UACAGAGGUGGCGAGCGUUAUUCGGAAUUAUUGGGCGUAAAGGGCGCGUAGGCGGCUUGACAAGUCCCGGGUGAAAUCCCUCGGCUCAACCGAGGAACUGCCUUGGAAACUGUCUGGCUUGAGGCCGGGAGAGGGUAGUGGAAUUCCCAGUGUAGCGGUGAAAUGCGUAGAUACUGGGAGGAACACCGGUGGCGAAGGCGGCUACCUGGACCGGUUCUGACGCUGAGGCGCGACAGCGUGGGGAGCAAACAGG
Molecule: ribosomal RNA, 253 nt
Filed under: uncultured bacterium
Lineage: Bacteria
Description: partial 16S ribosomal RNA
Rfam family: Bacterial small subunit ribosomal RNA
Source: RNAcentral